This 68-nucleotide transfer RNA is filed under the name Marmota monax (woodchuck). Its description in RNAcentral is "tRNA.Ala". The record is from RNAcentral. Lineage: Eukaryota; Metazoa; Chordata; Mammalia; Rodentia; Sciuridae.
GGACUGUGGCUCAGUGGUAGCUCACUUGCCUUGCAUGUGUGAGGCACUGGGUUCAAUUCUCAGCACCA